This 400-nucleotide ribosomal RNA is filed under the name uncultured bacterium. RNAcentral's name for it is "bacterial SSU rRNA". It matches the Rfam family "Bacterial small subunit ribosomal RNA", at positions 355 to 769 of the family's 1533-position model. The record is from RNAcentral.
UAGGGAAUAUUGCACAAUGGGCGAAAGCCUGAUGCAGCGACGCCGCGUGAGUGAUGAAGGUCUUCGGAUUGUAAAGCUCUGUUGUCAGGGAAUAAGACAGUGAAUGUACCUGACGAGAAAGCACCGGCUAACUUCGUGCCAGCAGCCGCGGUAAUACGAGGGGUGCGAGCGUUGCUCGGAAUCAUUGGGCGUAAAGCGGGUGUAGGUGGCCGCGUAAGUCGGAGGUGAAAGCCCAGGGCUUAACCCUGGAAGUGCCUUUGAUACUGCGUGGCUUGAGUGUGAGAGAGGGUGCUGGAAUUCCUGGUGUAGUGGUGAAAUACGUAGAGAUCAGGAGGAACAUCGGUUGCGAAGGCGGGUGCCUGGCUCAACACUGACACUCAGACCCGAAAGCGUGGGGAUC